UACGGAGGGUGCAAACGUUGCUCGGAAUCAUUGGGCGUAAAGCGCACGUAGGUGGCUUGUUAAGUCGGGUGUGAAAUCCCUGGGCUCAACCCAGGAAGUGCACUCGAAACUGGCGAGCUUGAGUACUGAAGAGGGUCGCGGAAUUCCCGGUGUAGAGGUGAAAUUCGUAGAUAUCGGGAGGAACACCAGUGGCGAAGACGGCGACCUGGGCAGAUACUGACACUGAGGUGCGAAAGCGUGGGGAGCAAACAGG
Molecule: ribosomal RNA, 253 nt
Filed under: uncultured bacterium
Lineage: Bacteria
Description: partial 16S ribosomal RNA
Rfam family: Bacterial small subunit ribosomal RNA
Source: RNAcentral